Long non-coding RNA from Macadamia integrifolia, 4687 nucleotides. RefSeq lists it as uncharacterized. NCBI's taxonomy places the organism in Eukaryota, Viridiplantae, Streptophyta, Magnoliopsida, Proteales, Proteaceae. The record is from RefSeq and is a predicted model, not a curated record. The transcript has 3 exons.
UUUUUUUUUUUUUGGCUCCUUUCCAUGAUCAGGUAAGUAAUUUAUAUAACCUUAAAGCUUAGGGGCCCUAGCUGCUUCCUGGUGUUCUUGUGAUUUUUUCAUACUAUUUUCAUUUCGUUACUUUAUUUUUAUAAUUCUUCUGAAUUUGUUCUUUGAUUAAUGUGCUGACUGCAAAGAUGGCAGUACGGGUUAAGUAUGAUUUUUUUAUUUUAUUCGUCUUUAGUCUUUAGUUCAUUACUUGGCUUUGAGCUAAGGAUGUUAAGUCAUGUUAAAUGUUUCUAGACUAGGCUUAUAUAUGCAAGAAGUUAUUUGUAUUAUUGGUAUUACACUAGACUUAUACAACUUAUGGUUUUGUCGUGAUCUUACUUUAGUGACAGCUAAGUGUUAAUUUUCUUAAUAUUGAUUACAGGAGUACCCCAGAUACUCAAAUUAAAUUAUCAAUUUACAAGGUGGUAAGACCCUUGAUGGGUUUCCCAACAACAUAGAGCCUGGGAAGCUCAGACGCGGUCAAGAUCAAGAAGGAGCACUCAACUACUAGUGUAGUCUAGUAUGUUUUUUUCUUUUUUCUUUUUUCUUUUUUCCUUAGCAUAUAAUAUAAAUUGUUGACUCUUGUAUGACCUCAAUUAAAGUUGUUCAGGGAGGGAAGAUCCUUGUAGCCGCCCUAUUUAGAUGGAAUGCUCUUGAGGUGUUGCUUUAUUUCUUUAUUUUUUACUUUUUUUUUUAAACCCUCUCACGGUUCCAUAUAGCCGACCUCAUUUAGUUUGGAAAAUGCUAAGUUGUUGUAUAUUUUAUGUACAAUAUGAAUUGUUGAUGGAGUUGAGUUCUCUAAGAUAGGAAUAUUGAUACAUCGUGUAUCUUGGAUUUAUUAAUUGAUUAUGAUGAUGAACAUAAUAUUUAUUUUAGAUAUAUUUUGAAUUUAAGUGAUUUAGAUGAUAAGCAAGAUUUAGUUAUCCGUAUUUUGGAUGUUAAAAAGUUAUUAUGUAUUGUGUGUAUGUAUUAAGUGUAAUAUGUGGGUUUAAGAAAAAGUAGAAAUGUGAGAAAAAUCGUAUACAUUUAAAAGAAAAAACCUCUAUUAUUCUUGUUACUGCACAAAAAUCCGCAACUAUACUUUUGGUAAAAUAAUUCUACAACUAAAGUCAACAACUAUAGAUUUCACAAAUAAAAAUCCACAGCUAAAUUAUGCAAUAUAGACCUUGCUGCACAAAAAUCUACAACUAAUAUGCAAAGUUAUAGCCUUUGUUGCAAUCUGUGGCUAAUAAAAAAAUCCGCAACUAUAAAAAAGUAGCUACAAAUUUUGGGCACAAGAUUCUAUUGUUACAAAUGUGUUGCAGAAAAAUUUGCAGCUUUUUUUUAUAGUAGGCAAUCCAUAGUUAUAACCUCUAGCCUCAUUAACAUGAUACAAUGUGUUUUAAAACCUUGAGGUCCAUGGGUCAAAGAGGACAAUAUUGUGUCAAGGUUAAUGAGGUCGGGGCAUUGCAAAUGAUAUUAGAGCAAAACCCAAUAAUGCGGCAAGUACCAGACCCGCCUGAGAGAUCGGUGAGGUAUCUCCACUAGGAAUACAGUAAAAACAAGGUGUUUGGGAAAUCAGUGAGGGUAUAUAAACUUUAGUCCCACAUCGCCUAGGGGAGAUUAUUUGGCUAAUUGAUAACCUCUAGCCUUCUUAACAUAGUACAAUGCAUUUUAAAGCCUUGAGGUCCAUGGGUCAAAGAAGAUAACAUUAUGCCAAGGUUAAUGGGGCCGAAGCGUUACAACACGUGCCAAAGUGACUUAUGGAAUCCACUCCCAUCCAAUGAACUUUCCUCACUAGACCAUUAAACAGGUUGUAAUGGCUAAGAUUUUCUAAUAAAUGUUAAGGAUUCUAUCACAUCUUAAAACGUGUAUUGGGUGUUUUUAGAAGAAAAGUGAUGAGAUUGGUUAUCUCUAUCUGUGCAAAACAUGUGCCAAACCGACUAAUGGAAACCAAUUCACGUCCAGUGCACUUUCCUCACUAGACCAUUAAAUAGGUUGUAGAUGUUUAAGAUUUUCUAAUAAAUGUUAAGGAUUAUAUCACAUCUUAAAAUGUGUAUUGGGUGUUUUUAGAAGAAAAGUGAUGAGAUUGGUUACCUCCAUCUGAACAAAACAUGUGCCAAACCAACUAAUGGAAACCAACUCACGUCCAGUUCACUUUCCUCGCUAAACCAUUGAACAGGCUGUAAUGGUUAAAAUUUUCUAUUAAAUGUUAAGGAAUCUAUCACAUUUUAAAACGUGUAUUGGGUGUUUUAAGAAGAAAAGUGAUGAUAUUGGUUAUCUCCAUCUGUACAAAACACGUGCCAAGCUGACUAAUGGAACCCAACUCAUGUUCAGUUCACUUUCCCCACUAGACCAUUGAACAGGCUGUAAUGGUUAACAUUUUCUAAUAAAUAUUAAGGAUUUUGUCAUGUAUUAAAACGUGUAAUGGGUGUUUUAAGAAGAAAAGUGAUGAGAUUGGUUAUCUCCAUUUGUACAAAACAUGUGCCAAGCCGACUAAUGGAAUCGAACUCACGUCCAGUGCACUUUCCUCAUUAGACUAUUGAACAUGUUGUAAUGGUUAAGAUUUUCUAAUAAAUGUUAAGGAUUCUAUCACAUCUUAAAACAUGUAAUGGGUGUUUUUAGAACAAAAGUGAUGAGAUUGGUUAUAUCUAUCUAUAUAAAACAUGUGCCAAACCGACUAAUGGAAACCAACUCACGUCCAGUGUACUUUCCUCGCUAGACCAUUGAACAAGCUGUAACGGUUAAGAUUUUAUAAUAAAUGUUAAGGAUUCUAUCACAUCUUAAAACGUGUAUUGGGUGUUUUUAGAUGAAAAGUGAUGAGAUUGGUUAUCUCCAUUUGUACAAAACAUGUGCCAAACUGACUAAUGGAAUCCAACUCACGUCUAGUGCAUUUUCCUCGCUAGACCAUUGAACAGGUUGUAAUAGUUAAGAUUUUUUAAUAAUUGUUAAGGAUUCUAUCACAUCUUAAAACGUGCAUUGGGUGUUUUUAGAAGAAAAUUGAUGGAAUUGUUUGUCUCCAUCUACAUUACACGUACUAAACCGACUAAUGGAAGCUUUUGGUUUCUAUAUAUUUAAUUUCUCCCUAAUUUGUUUAUUUUAUAUUAAAAUUUAUGGAAAUGUCAGCCUCCAUUGUUUUUUCUUAGCUAUGUACUUAAAGGUAUUAUAACAGCUGAUAUUGUGCUAGAAACAUGAAGCAUUCCUACCUCAAUAUAAGUAGUCGUCGGGUCUCAAACUAGAUUCAUAGAGGAAAUCUAACCUUCUUCAACUUUGAGUUAUUAGUUUUCUCAUUUUAAGCAGUCUUAUGUGCUUCUCUAUAUGAUGAUAAAGUUAGGAAUGUUUGAGCUCCAUGUAUAUCCAAGUUCUAUGAGGAAUGGUAAAUGGAGUAUUACAUGGUAAACCAUCGGUUCUAAGUCCUAGAGCUAUAUCAUUUUUCACCUCGCAUGCGUUGAUAAAGGUUUAGGGGAAGCAAUAGUCAUUAACGAGAAUUCAUGCAUAUGAUCACGUGCCCUAACUUCAUCUAAGAAAUUUCAGAAAUGGUGGUACCUACUAUGAGGAGAGUGCAUAACAAAAUUUUGUACGGAAUUGCCAGUAGUCCUAAUUAUAGAAUUACUACUUGGGUUUUGCAUCCUAUAGAUCAUUGGAUAACAUCAAUUUUGGGUCAAGGGCAACCGAUGCAAUACACAACAUCAAAUGGUGAACACCAGGGAUACAUGAUGCUCAUGGGAAUUUUUUUCCUCGACUUGUUUCACAAGUUGUAGCUGUUUGUAAUGCACUGGAAGCUUUGGCUUUUGUUGGGUUCAGACAAGGUGGAUUUGACAUUAUUCUGAUGUGAAUCUCAUCAAAAAAUACUUCUUUUUUGGGAUGGUUGAUCCAAACCAAUCAGUUGGUUAUAGAUGAAUUCACCUUGUGAGAUGAAAUUCCACUGGGAAACUCUUGCUUCCACUCAUGGAAUGGACAACAACAGCAAUCAAUUCAUCAAUACUCAAGUCGGGGUUACCUCCACUAGGCUUUGACAGUUUCUGGAAAACCUCAAUGCUUGAUUGAGCCUUUGUCGUCAUCUUUCUCUAACCUUCCUCACAUGGCAAAAUAGUACUAGAAAUAAAAUGUUAUCAACUUCAAACAUCUCAAGUGGUUGCGGAUUUCCAUCUGCAUCAUAAGGCCUGAGGUUGUAAAAUAUCAUUCGGGAGGAACCUUUCAAAGCCAGUGGCAUGUCACAGCUCAAGCACGUAUGGACCAAGAUUUGGCUUUAAAAUUUAUUGAUUCCCUUCUCAUGCAUUUUCACUGAUGGAAUUCAAGACAUUGUACCCCCAACAACUUUUCCUUAACAAUUCGAGCAUUCAGGAACAACUUUUCCUUAACAAUUCGAGCGUUCAGGUGAAAUGGUAGCAAACAUAGGCAUACAUAAUUCUGCAUAGAAGAUGCCCUUCUUGUGUUAUGCUACUCUCUGGAGCCACCAUACACCACGUCUUCUUGCCUCGCCAAGCUUGAUCAUUGAAGAUGAUAUUGGUAGAGACCUGGAUAGAUAUCCCUUAUGUAUUUUGCAGAGAGAGAGUUUUGUUUCCUCUUACCAAAGACAUUUUAUAUGUUAAUUAAGUUAAUUUUAUUAGCAAUACGUUGAUAGAAAAUUUAAAGUUUCCAAAAUAAUAAACUUUCUUGUACCAGUGAAAAUUAUUUUCAA